RNAcentral lists this transfer RNA (72 nucleotides) under Cavia porcellus (domestic guinea pig). It matches the Rfam family "tRNA". From Rfam's summary of the family: Transfer RNA (tRNA) molecules are approximately 80 nucleotides in length. Their secondary structure includes four short double-helical elements and three loops (D, anti-codon, and T loops). Lineage: Eukaryota; Metazoa; Chordata; Mammalia; Rodentia; Caviidae. The record is from Rfam by way of RNAcentral.
CGGGAUAUAGCUCAGUGGCAAAGCACGUGCCUGGCAAGCCUGAGGACCUGAGUUCGAUUCCCAGUACCCUGC